CUACGAGUUUGAUCCUGGCUCAGAUUGAACGCUGGCGGCAUGCCUUACACAUGCAAGUCGAACGGUAGAGUAGCAAUACUUGAGAGUGGCGAACGGGUGAGUAAUAUAUCGGAACGUGCCCGGUCUGGGGGGAUAACGUAGCGAAAGCUACGCUAAUACCGCAUACGAUCUACGGAUGAAANCGGGGGGAUCGCAAGACCUCGCGCGAUUGGAGCGGCCGAUAUCAGAUUAGGUAGUUGGUGAGGUAAAGGCUCACCAAGCCGACGAUCUGUAGCUGGUCUGAGAGGACGACCAGCCACACUGGGACUGAGACACGGCCCAGACUCCUACGGGAGGCAGCAGUGGGGAAUUUUGGACAAUGGGCGCAAGCCUGAUCCAGCAAUGCCGCGUGCAGGAAGAAGGCCUUCGGGUUGUAAACUGCUUUUGUACGGAACGAAAAGGUCUGCCCUAAUACGGCGGGCCCAUGACGGUACCGUAAGAAUAAGCACCGGCUAACUACGUG
This 502-nucleotide ribosomal RNA is filed under the name uncultured bacterium. Its description in RNAcentral is "bacterial SSU rRNA". It matches the Rfam family "Bacterial small subunit ribosomal RNA", at positions 1 to 507 of the family's 1533-position model. The record is from RNAcentral.